This 336-nucleotide unclassified non-coding RNA is filed under the name soil metagenome. Its description in RNAcentral is "partial contains 5.8S ribosomal RNA, internal transcribed spacer 2, and large subunit ribosomal RNA". The stretch from base 1 to 120 matches the Rfam family "5.8S ribosomal RNA", at positions 35 to 154 of the family's 154-position model. The record is from RNAcentral.
GAUGAAGAACGCAGCGAAAUGCGAUAAGUAAUGUGAAUUGCAGAAUUCAGUGAAUCAUCGAAUCUUUGAACGCACAUUGCGCCCGCCAGUAUUCUGGCGGGCAUGCCUGUUCGAGCGUCAUUUCAACCAUCAAGCCCCAGGCUUGUGUUGGGGACCUGCGGCUGCCGCAGGCCCUGAAAACCAGUGGCGGGCUCGCUGUCACACCGGGCGUAGUAGAUUUUAUCUCGCUCAGGGCGUGCUGCGGGUCCCGGCCGUUAAAAGCCUUUUUUUACCCAAGGUUGACCUCGGAUCAGGUAGGAAGACCCGCUGAACUUAAGCAUAUCAAUAAGCGGAUGA